Coffea arabica (coffee) is the source of this 503-nucleotide non-coding RNA. The record is from RefSeq and is a predicted model, not a curated record. NCBI's taxonomy places the organism in Eukaryota, Viridiplantae, Streptophyta, Magnoliopsida, Gentianales, Rubiaceae.
GCUGUCAAGAGAAGAUCAUUAUCAAGAAAAAUUGUAUGUGAUUUUGCUUCUUUCAGUUUCAUUCUUCCAGAUCUCAGUUUUUUCACUAUUUUUUUACACGCAUUUUUAAUAGUUCUCCUGUUACUUAUUUGUCCUUUUUUCCCUGGCCUUCUACAGCACCUGUACAAACUUAUGUGAUUUUCUAUUAUGUAUGGGAAAAUUGCUUGGUGUAUUUUUUGGUUGUUUUGGAUUCAUGGGUUGUUCAAAGCACAAUGUCUUUGGCUAAAAACUUGGGGUAAUGCUUUGUUUUGUAUCAGUCAGUCUAAGCCCAAGCUUUGGGCUUUUAGCAUAGUUCAGCUUUGGACAGUUAUGUAGGAAGCAGAAUCGGCCAUCCUUGAAGCAUUAUCAAGAUCAAAGCCUGGAAGCGUAUGACCCUGGAUACUAGAUUUUGCACUAACAGUAGCUAUGUGAUCUCUGUAUUACCUACUAUAAAUGUAUAUCAGCUCUUGAUGCUUUAUAUCUCA